UGGGGAAUUUUGGACAAUGGGCGAAAGCCUGAUCCAGCAAUGCCGCGUGUGUGAAGAAGGCCUUCGGGUUGUAAAGCACUUUUGUCCGGAAAGAAAUCCUUGGCUCUAAUACAGUCGGGGGAUGACGGUACCGGAAGAAUAAGCACCGGCUAACUACGUGCCAGCAGCCGCGGUAAUACGUAGGGUGCAAGCGUUAAUCGGAAUUACUGGGCGUAAAGCGUGCGCAGGCGGUUUGCUAAGACCGAUGUGAAAUCCCCGGGCUCAACCUGGGAACUGCAUUGGUGACUGGCAGGCUAGAGUAUGGCAGAGGGGGGUAGAAUUCCACGUGUAGCAGUGAAAUGCGUAGAGAUGUGGAGGAAUACCGAUGGCGAAGGCAGCCCCCUGGGCCAAUACUGACGCUCAUGCACGAAAGCGUGGGGAGCAAACAGGAUUAGAUACCCUGGUAGUCCACGCCCUAAACGAUGUCAACUAGUUGUUGGGGAUUCAUUUCCUUAGUAACGUACUAACGCGUGAAGUUGACCGCCUGGGGAGUACGGUCGCAAGAUUAAAACUCAAAUGAAUUGACGGGGUCAUAGCUGUUUCC
This 583-nucleotide ribosomal RNA is filed under the name uncultured bacterium. RNAcentral's name for it is "partial 16S ribosomal RNA". It matches the Rfam family "Bacterial small subunit ribosomal RNA", at positions 355 to 937 of the family's 1533-position model. The record is from RNAcentral.